CUGAUAAUGCAAUUAUGUUUCAGCAAAGAAUGAAUCUUCUCCAUAAAGUAGGUCAUGCCCAGAAUAUUGAUGAUUUAAAUAAAAUAAUAUCACAGCCUUAAAAAGGGUCUUCAUUUAGAGAUGGUUUUUGCCAUGUAAAAUAUUAUUCAAAAAUGAGAUCUUACCUCCCUCCACCAGGAAGAAAUGUGUAAGAGUAAGGAUUUGGUCUCAAAUUGUUGAAUGAUAAUAUUGUUGAAAUUGAACUUGCUUUUUUUUUCUUUCUAUAUUUUACAGCAUAACAGUGAAACAAAGGGAUUGUUUUUCAGAAACAAAGAAGUGUCUUAAAACUACUCAACACAAUUUGAAUCUUUCCUGAAACUUGAUCUACAUAUUUCCCGGCAAUGUAUUUUUACCAACCUUCAAACUAAACUUCUUUGUUAAAUGUAUGACUUGAUGGCGAUGUCGGAUAUGAAACUACUGUCGUCAGAAUCCCAGGUAUCCUACACCAAAUAUUUCCUGCGAUUCAAAGUGAUGAAUACAUGUGAAAGAAUAUUCC
RNAcentral lists this long non-coding RNA (535 nucleotides) under Felis catus (domestic cat). Its description in RNAcentral is "lncRNA (ENSFCAG00000041562.2)". Lineage: Eukaryota; Metazoa; Chordata; Mammalia; Carnivora; Felidae. The record is from RNAcentral.